GUGAAUCAUCGAAUCUUUGAACGCAAAUUGCACUCACUUCGGAGAGUAUGCCUGUUUGAGGGUCAGCCUAAAAAAAUCGACAUAAUCCCUGUUCCGCGGUUAAAUUCGUCGGAAAUUGGGUCAUCUUAAACCUUUGGGUUUUUUAAGCGGCUUAAAAUUUUUUUUACGAUUCCACGAACGUUUCUAAAGAUUUACUUCUUACCAACGUUUUAGGUUACG
This 219-nucleotide unclassified non-coding RNA is filed under the name Glomus sp. RNAcentral describes it as "partial contains 5.8S ribosomal RNA and internal transcribed spacer 2". The stretch from base 1 to 65 matches the Rfam family "5.8S ribosomal RNA", at positions 84 to 154 of the family's 154-position model. Lineage: Eukaryota; Fungi; Glomeromycota; Glomeromycetes; Glomerales; Glomeraceae. The record is from RNAcentral.